RNAcentral lists this ribosomal RNA (497 nucleotides) under uncultured bacterium. Its description in RNAcentral is "partial 16S ribosomal RNA". It matches the Rfam family "Bacterial small subunit ribosomal RNA", at positions 28 to 507 of the family's 1533-position model. The record is from RNAcentral.
GAUGAACGCUGGCGGCGUGCCUAAUACAUGCAAGUCGAGCGAACAGAUGAGGAGCUUGCUCCUCUGACGUUAGCGGCGGACGGGUGAGUAACACGUGGAUAACCUACCUAUAAGACUGGGAUAACUUCUGGAAACCGGAGCUAAUACCGGAUAAUAUAUUGAACCGCAUGGUUCAAUAGUGAAAGACGGUUUUGCUGUCACUUAUAGAUGGAUCCGCGCCGCAUUAGCUAGUUGGUAAGGUAACGGCUUACCAAGGCAACGAUGCGUAGCCGACCUGAGAGGGUGAUCGGCCACACUGGAAAUGAGAAAAGGUCCAGACUCAUACGGGAGGCAGCAGUAGGGAAUCUUCCGCAAUGGGCGAAAGCCUGACGGAGCAACGCCGCGUGAGUGAUGAAGGUCUUCGGAUCGUAAAACUCUGUUAUUAGGGAAGAACAAAUGUGUAAGUAACUAUGCACGUCUUGACGGUACCUAAUCAGAAAGCCACGGCUAACUACGUG